RNAcentral lists this ribosomal RNA (391 nucleotides) under uncultured bacterium. RNAcentral describes it as "bacterial SSU rRNA". It matches the Rfam family "Bacterial small subunit ribosomal RNA", at positions 355 to 762 of the family's 1533-position model. The record is from RNAcentral.
UGGGGAAUCUUGGACAAUGGGGGCAACCCUGAUCCAGCCAUGCCGCGUGAGUGAUGAAGGCCUUAGGGUCGUAAAGCUCUUUCGCCUGUGAAGAUAAUGACGGUAGCAGGUAAAGAAACCCCGGCUAACUCCGUGCCAGCAGCCGCGGUAAUACGGAGGGGGUUAGCGUUGUUCGGAAUUACUGGGCGUAAAGCGCACGUAGGCGGACCAGAAAGUUGGGGGUGAAAUCCCGGGGGCUCAACCCCGGAACUGCCUCCAAAACUAUUGGUCUAGAGUUCGAGAGAGGUGAGUGGAAUUCCAAGUGUAGAGGUGAAAUUCGUAGAUAUUCGGAGGAACACCAGUGGCGAAGGCGGCUCACUGGCUCGAUACUGACGCUGAGGUGCGAAAGUGU